GAUGAAUAACGUAGCGAAAUGCGAUAAGUAAUGUGAAUUGCAGAAUUCAGUGAAUCAUCGAAUCUUUGAACGCACAUUGCGCCCGCCAGUAUUCUGGCGGGCAUGCCUGUCCGAGCGUCAUUUCAACCAUCAAGCCCCGGGCUUGUGUUGGGGACCUGCGUCCGACGCAGGCCCUGAAAACCAGUGGCGGGCUCGCUGUCCACACCGAGCGUAGUAACUAACCUCGCUAUGGAGUGGCGCGGGCGCCUGCCGUAAAACCCCCAAUUUCACAAGGUUGACCUCGGAUCAGGUAGGAAUACCCGCUGAACUUAAGCAUAUCAAUAAGCGGAGGC
RNAcentral lists this unclassified non-coding RNA (332 nucleotides) under soil metagenome. RNAcentral's name for it is "partial contains 5.8S ribosomal RNA, internal transcribed spacer 2, and large subunit ribosomal RNA". The stretch from base 1 to 120 matches the Rfam family "5.8S ribosomal RNA", at positions 35 to 154 of the family's 154-position model. The record is from RNAcentral.